Small nucleolar RNA from Erigeron canadensis, 158 nucleotides. RefSeq annotates it as small nucleolar RNA snoR136. The record is from RefSeq and is a predicted model, not a curated record. The transcript has a single exon. NCBI's taxonomy places the organism in Eukaryota, Viridiplantae, Streptophyta, Magnoliopsida, Asterales, Asteraceae.
GUGGCUUUAUUGAGAUUUUAAUGAAGAUUUGCUAAUGCUAAUUAAUAAAUUAGUUAGUAAUUGGUAUGUUUUGAUGGAAUGGAGCCUAGAAAAAAUGUUCCCCUCGCUAUCCAGUGUUACUUUCAAUGUUUACAUUUGGACGUUGGGAAACUACAUUU